GAAGAAGGGGGGGGGCUUUACCAUGCAAAGUCGAGCGCCCCGCAAGGGGAGCGGCAGACGGGUGAGUAACGCGUGGGAAUCUACCAUUUGCUACGGAACAACAGUUGGAAACGACUGCUAAUACCGUAUGUGCCCUAACGGGGAAAGAUUUAUCGGCAAAUGAUGAGCCCGCGUUGGAUUAGCUAGUUGGUGGGGUAAAGGCCUACCAAGGCGACGAUCCAUAGCUGGUCUGAGAGGAUGAUCAGCCACACUGGGACUGAGACACGGCCCAGACUCCUACGGGAGGCAGCAGUGGGGAAUAUUGGACAAUGGGCGCAAGCCUGAUCCAGCCAUGCCGCGUGAGUGAUGAAGGCCCUAGGGUUGUAAAGCUCUUUCACCGGUGAAGAUAAUGACGGUAACCGGAGAAGAAGCCCCGGCUAACUUCGUGCCAGCAGCCGCGGUAAU
RNAcentral lists this ribosomal RNA (444 nucleotides) under Ochrobactrum soli. RNAcentral's name for it is "bacterial SSU rRNA". It matches the Rfam family "Bacterial small subunit ribosomal RNA", at positions 38 to 524 of the family's 1533-position model. The record is from RNAcentral. Lineage: Bacteria; Pseudomonadati; Pseudomonadota; Alphaproteobacteria; Hyphomicrobiales; Brucellaceae.